UAAAAAUUUUAUUUUGGUUUAGAAAUUAGGUUUAAAAUUUUAUUAUAUAUAAAUUUUUUUAAAUAAUAAUUGUAUAGUAAUUAAAAUUAAUUAUUUAAUAGUUUAAGAAUUAGAAAUUUUUAUUAUUGUUAACAAAAUUUGUGCCAGCAGUUGCGGUUACACAAAUAGCAAAAUUUAAUUAAUUUAGUUAAAAUUAAAGGAAAUUGAUUUAUUUAAAAAAUAAAUUUGUUAGGUGGAAUUUUAAAUUUAUUUUUGAUAAGUUUUUAUAUUGAAGUUUAGAAAUUUUUGUUAUAAACUAGGAUUAGAUACCCUAUUAUAAGAAAUGUAAUAAAAAGAUUAGAUUAGUAUUAGUUAAGUUCUUGAAAAUUAAAAAUUUUGGCGGUAUUUUAAUCUAUUCAGAGGAACCUGUUUAGUAAAUGAUAAUCCACGAUUUUAUUUACUUUUUGUUUUAGCUUAUAUAUCGUCGUAAAAAAUAUUUUAUUAGAAUUCUAAUAUUUAAAAUUUUUAAUAAAAAUAUAAUUCAGAUCAAGGUAUAGUUUAUAAGAAAGAUAAAAUGGGUUACAAUUAAUUUAUUAAAGGAUUUAUAAUUUUAAAUUAUAAUGAAUUUGGAUUUGAUAGUAAUUUUAAUAAUUUAUUAAAAUGAUUUAGUUCUAAAAUAUGUACAUAUCGCCCGUCGCUUUCAUUUAAUAUGAAAUAAGUCGUAACAAAGUAGGUUUACUGGAAGGUGAGUCUAGAAUACA
RNAcentral lists this non-coding RNA (740 nucleotides) under Altica ericeti. The record is from RNAcentral. Lineage: Eukaryota; Metazoa; Arthropoda; Insecta; Coleoptera; Chrysomelidae.